GUCUACGGCCAUGCCACCCUGAACAAGCCCAAUCCCGUCUUAUUUCGGAAGCUAAGCAGGGCCGGACCUGGUUAGUAUUUGGAUGGGAAACCACCUAGGAAGACCAGGUGCUGUAGGCA
RNAcentral lists this ribosomal RNA (119 nucleotides) under Pteropus alecto (black flying fox). Lineage: Eukaryota; Metazoa; Chordata; Mammalia; Chiroptera; Pteropodidae. The record is from RNAcentral. RNAcentral also lists the same sequence under 1 other name.